AUAAUUGUAGCUUUUGAAACUCAACGAAGCAUUCGGGUUCUCCCAGGACAAAGCUAGCCCAUUGCACUUCGGGUGUGCUGAAGCUUGCAAUGUCCCCAAAUGCGGGAUACGCGACUGCAAAAUUUGUGGUAGUGGGGGACUGUGUUUGCGCUCUCCCCUG
This is a small nuclear RNA of Carcharodon carcharias (great white shark), 160 nucleotides long. RefSeq annotates it as U1 spliceosomal RNA. The transcript has a single exon. NCBI's taxonomy places the organism in Eukaryota, Metazoa, Chordata, Chondrichthyes, Lamniformes, Lamnidae. The record is from RefSeq and is a predicted model, not a curated record.